CCUACGGGCGGCAGCAGUGAGGAAUAUUGGUCAAUGGGCGAGAGCCUGAACCAGCCAAGUCGCGUGAGGGAAGACGGUCCUAUGGAUUGUAAACCUCUUUUGUCGGGGAGCAAAAAGGCCUCGUGAGGCCACAAGCGAGAGUACCCGAAGAAAAAGCAUCGGCUAACUCCGUGCCAGCAGCCGCGGUAAUACGGAGGAUGCGAGCGUUAUCCGGAUUUAUUGGGUUUAAAGGGUGCGUAGGCGGACUGGAAAGUCAGCGGUAAAAUCGAGAGGCUCAACCUCUUUCCGCCGUUGAAACUGUCGGUCUUGAGUGGGCGAGAAGUAUGCGGAAUGCGUGGUGUAGCGGUGAAAUGCAUAGAUAUCACGCAGAACUCCGAUUGCGAAGGCAGCAUACCGGCGCCCGACUGACGCUGAGGCACGAAAGCGUGGGUAUCGAAC
This 438-nucleotide ribosomal RNA is filed under the name uncultured bacterium. Its description in RNAcentral is "bacterial SSU rRNA". It matches the Rfam family "Bacterial small subunit ribosomal RNA", at positions 338 to 773 of the family's 1533-position model. The record is from RNAcentral.